RNAcentral lists this ribosomal RNA (497 nucleotides) under uncultured bacterium. RNAcentral's name for it is "partial 16S ribosomal RNA". It matches the Rfam family "Bacterial small subunit ribosomal RNA", at positions 28 to 507 of the family's 1533-position model. The record is from RNAcentral.
GAUGAACGCUGGCGGCGUGCCUAAUACAUGCAAGUCGAGCGAACGGACGAGAAGCUUGCUUCUCUGAUGUUAGCGGCGGACGGGUGAGUAACACGUGGAUAACCUACCUAUAAGACUGGGAUAACUUCGGGAAACCGGAGCUAAUACCGGAUGAUAUUUUGAACCGCAUGGUUCAAAAGUGAAAGACGGUCUUGCUGUCACUUAUAGAUGGAUCCGCGCUGCAUUAGCUAGUUGGUAAGGUAACGGCUUACCAAGGCAACGAUGCAUAGCCGACCUGAGAGGGUGAGCGGCCACACGAGAACUGAGACACGGUCCAGACUCCUAGGGGGGGAAGCAGGGGGGAAUCUCCCGAAAGGGGGAAAGGCCGGAGGGACCAACGCCGGGGGAGUGAGGAAGGUCUUCGGAUCGAAAAACUUUUUUAUGGGGGAAAAAAAUAGGUGAAAGAACCUGGGCACAUUUGGAGGCUACCUAAUAAGAAACCCCCGGCAACCUCCGUG